GCUGAUACUGGCUCAGUUGGUAGAGCGCACCCUUGGUAAGGGUGAGGUCCCCAGUUCGACUCUGGGUAUCAGCACCA
This 77-nucleotide transfer RNA is filed under the name Escherichia coli Nissle 1917. Its description in RNAcentral is "tRNA-Thr (GGT) (tRNA-Thr-GGT-3-1)". It matches the Rfam family "tRNA". From Rfam's summary of the family: Transfer RNA (tRNA) molecules are approximately 80 nucleotides in length. Their secondary structure includes four short double-helical elements and three loops (D, anti-codon, and T loops). Lineage: Bacteria; Pseudomonadati; Pseudomonadota; Gammaproteobacteria; Enterobacterales; Enterobacteriaceae. The record is from RNAcentral.